UGAACGUGGCGGCGUGCNUAACACAUGCAAGUCGAACGGAGAUGCGAUGUGAGCGAGAGGUGCUUGCACUGAUUAAUCNUUUCGUAUCUUAGUGGCGGACGGGUGAGUAACGCGUGGGUAACCUGCCUUAUACCGGGGGAUAACACUUAGAAAUAGGUGCUAAUACCGCAUAAGCGCACGGUGUCGCAUGACACAGUGUGAAAAACUCCGGUGGUAUAAGAUGGACCCGCGUCUGAUUAGCCAGUUGGCAGGGUAACGGCCUACCAAAGCGACGAUCAGUAGCCGGCCUGAGAGGGUGAACGGCCACAUUGGGACUGAGACACGGCCCAAACUCCUACGGGAGGCAGCAGUGGGGAAUAUUGCACAAUGGGGGAAACCCUGAUGCAGCGACGCCGCGUGAGUGAAGAAGUAUUUCGGUAUGUAAAGCUCUAUCAGCAGGGAAGAAGAAAUGACGGUACCUGANUAAGAAGCCCCGGCUAACUACGUGCCAGCAGCCGCGGUAAUACGUAGGGGGCAAGCGUUAUCCGGAUUUACUGGGUGUAAAGGGAGCGUAGACGGUGAAGCAAGUCUGAAGUGAAAGGUUGGGGCUCAACCCCGAAACUGCUUUGGAAACUGUUUAACUGGAGUACAGGAGAGGUAAGUGGAAUUCCUAGUGUAGCGGUGAAAUGCGUAGAUAUUAGGAGGAACACCAGUGGCGAAGGCGGCUUACUGGACUGUAACUGACGUUGAGGCUCGAAAGCGUGGGGAGCAAACAGGAUUAGAUACCCUGGUAGUCCACGCCGUAAACGAUGAUUACUAGGUGUUGGUGGAUAUGGAUCCAUCGGUGCCGCAGCAAACGCAAUAAGUAAUCCACCUGGGGAGUACGUUCGCAAGAAUGAAACUCAAAGGAAUUGACGGGGACCCG
This 904-nucleotide ribosomal RNA is filed under the name uncultured bacterium adhufec49.25. RNAcentral's name for it is "bacterial SSU rRNA". It matches the Rfam family "Bacterial small subunit ribosomal RNA", at positions 30 to 923 of the family's 1533-position model. The record is from RNAcentral.